GACGAACGCUGGCGGCGUGCUUAACACAUGCAAGUCGAACGGAAAGGCCCUGCUUUUGUGGGGUGCUCGAGUGGCGAACGGGUGAGUAACAAGUGAGUAACCUGCCCUUGCCUUUGGGCUAACUUCCGGAAACUGGGGCUAAUACCGGAUAGGAGCUCCUGCUGCAUGGUGGGGGUUGGAAAGUUUCGGCGGUUGGGGAUGGACUCGCGGCUUCUCAGCUUGUUGGUGGGGUAGUGGCUUACCAAGGCUUUGACGGGUAGCCGGCCUGAGAGGGUGACCGGCCACAUUGGGACUGAGAUACGGCCCAGACUCCUACGGGAGGCAGCAGUGGGGAAUAUUGCACUAUGGGCGGAAGCCGUAUGCAGCAACGCCGCGUGCGGGAUGACGGCCUUCGGGUUGUAAACCGCGUUCGCCUGUGACGAAGCGUGAGUGACGGUAAUGGGUAAAGAAGCACCGGCUAACUACGUG
Molecule: ribosomal RNA, 468 nt
Filed under: uncultured bacterium
Lineage: Bacteria
Description: partial 16S ribosomal RNA
Rfam family: Bacterial small subunit ribosomal RNA
Source: RNAcentral